This 253-nucleotide ribosomal RNA is filed under the name uncultured bacterium. RNAcentral describes it as "partial 16S ribosomal RNA". It matches the Rfam family "Bacterial small subunit ribosomal RNA", at positions 524 to 776 of the family's 1533-position model. The record is from RNAcentral.
GACGUAGGGCGCGAGCGUUGUCCGGAUUUAUUGGGCGUAAAGAGCACGCAGGCGGUCGUUCAAGUCGCGUGUGAAAGCCCCCGGCUCAACUGGGGAGGGUCACGCGAUACUGAUCGACUCGAAGGCAGGAGAGGGAAGUGGAAUUCCCGGUGUAGUGGUGAAAUGCGUAGAUAUCGGGAGGAACACCAGUGGCGAAGGCGACUUCCUGGCCUGUUCUUGACGCUGAGGCGCGAAAGCUAGGGGAGCAAACGGG